RNAcentral lists this ribosomal RNA (392 nucleotides) under uncultured bacterium. RNAcentral describes it as "partial 16S ribosomal RNA". It matches the Rfam family "Bacterial small subunit ribosomal RNA", at positions 523 to 918 of the family's 1533-position model. The record is from RNAcentral.
AUACGGAGGAUCCGAGCGUUAUCCGGAUUUAUUGGGUUUAAAGGGUGCGCAGGCGGCCAUUUAAGUCAGCGGUUAAAUCUUGGGGCUCAACCCCAUUCUGCCGUUGAUACUGGGUGGCUUGAUUGCGGUCGAGGUUGGCGGAAUUCGUUGUGUAGCGGUGAAAUGCAUAGAUAUGACGAAGAACACCGAUUGCGUAGGCAGCUGACCAGACCGCAAAUGACGCUCAUGCACGAAAGUGCGGGGAUCGAACAGGAUUAGAUACCCUGGUAGUCCGCACAGUAAACGAUGAAUACUUGUUUUCGGCGAUAUAAUGUCGGAGGCAAAGCGAAAGCGAUAAGUAUUCCACCUGGGGAGUACGCCGGCAACGGUGAAACUCAAAGGAAUUGGCGGGG